Molecule: ribosomal RNA, 693 nt
Filed under: Symbiodinium sp. Odo06
Lineage: Eukaryota; Dinophyceae; Suessiales; Symbiodiniaceae
Description: eukaryotic LSU rRNA
Rfam family: Eukaryotic large subunit ribosomal RNA
Source: RNAcentral
ACACUUCCUAGCAUGAAGUCAGACAAGUGAACCCGCCGAAUUUAAGCAUAUAAGUAAGCGGAGGAAAAGGAACUAAACAGGAUUCCCUUAGUAAUGGCGAACGAACAGGGAUCAGCUUGGGUUGGAAACCGGGGCUUCUGCCUUGGAUUGUGGCCUUUAGACAUACUACCAACGGCGGCGCGAGCGUAAGCCUCUUGGAACAGAGCGUCUACGUGGGUGAGAAUCCUGUGUUUCGCUUGAUGCCCGCCGUGCACGGUACUUGCUCUCAGAGUCACGCUCCUCGGAAUUGGAGCGUAAAUUGGGUGGUAAAUUUCAUCUAAAGCUAAAUACAGGCUCGAGACCGAUAGCAAACAAGUACCAUGAGGGAAAGAUGAAAAGGACUUUGAAAAGAGAGUUAAAAGUGCUUGAAAUCGCUGAACUGGAAGCGAAUGGAACUAGUGCUCUUGUUGAGAUUGCUGCAAGUGGCUGCGACAUCUGGGCUCUGGAACGCAAGUCUUUUGUCUGGUUUGAAGCAGUUGCUUGCAAUGUGUCUCAGCUUGAACAUCAACUUCUAUGCAUACGUGAGGAUGGCCCUUAGCUCAUGCUGUCUUGCUGUGGCGAUACUCUUGUGCUUCUGGGGAUUCAGGUGUGUGUGGAUUGUUGAUCAAUUAGUUCCAUUCGACCCGUCUUGAAACACGACCAAGGAGUCUAACA